GCGGAGGGCCGGAUGGCCGCUGGUGCCGCAAAGCACGAGAGGAAAGUCCGGACUCCACAAGGCAACGGUGCCGGGUAACGCCCGGGCAGGGCAACCUGACGGAAAGCGCCACAGAAAACAAACCGCCCCGCCGCGACCAUAGGGUGACCUUUGGCGAAACGGGGUCAGGGUGAAACGGUGGGGUAAGAGCCCACCGCGUCGCUGGCAACAGGGACGGCACGGCAAGCCCCACCGGGAGCAAUGCCAAAUAGGACCCCCGCGCGGGCAUGGUCCCGGCAACGGGAAACCGCCGCUAGGUACGCAUUGGCCGAGAGGGGUCGGGUUGGCAGCUGGACGCGCAUGGCAACAUGCGCGCUAGAGGAAUGGUCAUCGACGGGGGCAAACCCCUGAACAGAAUCCGGCUUACAGGCCCUCCGCGCAU
RNAcentral lists this RNase P RNA (421 nucleotides) under Rhodobacteraceae bacterium F11138. RNAcentral's name for it is "Bacterial RNase P class A". It matches the Rfam family "Bacterial RNase P class A". Rfam says of the family: Ribonuclease P (RNase P) is a ubiquitous endoribonuclease, found in archaea, bacteria and eukarya as well as chloroplasts and mitochondria. Lineage: Bacteria; Pseudomonadati; Pseudomonadota; Alphaproteobacteria; Rhodobacterales; Paracoccaceae. The record is from Rfam by way of RNAcentral.